This 274-nucleotide ribosomal RNA is filed under the name uncultured bacterium. RNAcentral's name for it is "partial 16S ribosomal RNA". It matches the Rfam family "Bacterial small subunit ribosomal RNA", at positions 523 to 796 of the family's 1533-position model. The record is from RNAcentral.
AUACGGAGGGGGUUAGCGUUGUUCGGAAUUACUGGGCGUAAAGCGUACGUAGGCGGAUUAGUAAGUUAGGGGUGAAAUCCCGAGGCUCAACCUCGGAACUGCCUCUAAAACUGCUAGUCUUGAGUUCGAGAGAGGUGAGUGGAAUUCCUAGUGUAGAGGUGAAAUUCGUAGAUAUUAGGAGGAACACCAGUGGCGAAGGCGGCUCACUGGCUCGAUACUGACGCUGAGGUACGAAAGUGAGGGGAGCAAACAGGAUUAGAAACCCUAGUAGUCC